AACCCGAUCCAACUUGAUCGUUUCUGUGCAAUGGCAGCAGCCCAACGAUCUAUUUCGAUCAGGUCCC
RNAcentral lists this microRNA precursor (67 nucleotides) under Pristionchus pacificus. RNAcentral describes it as "microRNA ppc-mir-8280 precursor". The record is from miRBase by way of RNAcentral. Lineage: Eukaryota; Metazoa; Nematoda; Chromadorea; Rhabditida; Neodiplogasteridae.